This is a long non-coding RNA of Girardinichthys multiradiatus, 632 nucleotides long. RefSeq lists it as uncharacterized. The transcript is spliced from 3 exons. The record is from RefSeq and is a predicted model, not a curated record. NCBI's taxonomy places the organism in Eukaryota, Metazoa, Chordata, Actinopteri, Cyprinodontiformes, Goodeidae.
GAUUGAGUCUUUGCAGAGCCUGCGCUGGGGAAACACGAAGAGGAAAAAAAAAUGCAUAUUUGAUAAAGAAAUCAACAGCGGGCUGCCAGUGCAGCACAAGAGCCCUUGAAAAUUUCGCCUGUUGCUCCGGUAACCGCGAGGACGAAUUCAGCUCCUGUUCGAGUGGUGGAGGUGAAACCCAUUAUAAGAUGUGUCGGCAGAGAGAAUGAGCAAAGUUAGAUAUCAGGGGGACCUUGUUUUGGGUUACGGUCUUGAAAAAACAAAAAUAAGUAUUUUUCUGUAGAUAAAAUACAUUAAGAUGCUUAAGUUGUACCAUAAAUUCAUUCUGCUCCAAUACACAGAAUAGUACAGUGUGGCUGUGAUAAAAUACUAUGCCUUGUGAAAGUAUUUUUCUAAUUUCAUCACGUUACCACCAAGAAUCACUAUGUUUUUGCUACCAUUUUAUGUAAUAGGCCAACACCAAAUUUUGGCAUAAUUACAAGGUAGAAGGAAAAUAAUACAUUGAUUUUAAAUGAUUUUACAAUACUUUUGCAGUUAUGCUGCAAAUCUGUUGUGGUAUGUCUCCAUCAGUCUGUAUUUCUAGAGACUGACAUUCUUUUGUCCAUGCCUUGUUGCAAAAUAGUUCAAGGAGA